ACGGGAGGCAGCAGUGGGGAAUAUUGCACAAUGGGCGAAAGCCUGAUGCAGCGACGCCGCGUGAGCGAUGAAGUAUUUCGGUAUGUAAAGCUCUAUCAGCAGGGAAGAUAAUGACGGUACCUGACUAAGAAGCACCGGCUAAAUACGUGCCAGCAGCCGCGGUAAUACGUAUGGUGCAAGCGUUAUCCGGAUUUACUGGGUGUAAAGGGAGCGUAGGCGGCAUGGCAAGUCUGAUGUGAAAACCCAGAGCUCAACUCUGGGAUUGCAUUGGAAACUGUCAAGCUAGAGUGUCGGAGGGGUAAGUGGAAUUCCCAGUGUAGCGGUGAAAUGCGUAGAUAUUGGGAGGAACACCAGUGGCGAAGGCGGCUUACUGGACGAUUACUGACGCUGAGGCUCGAAAGCGUGGGGAGCAAACAGGAUUAGAUACCCUGGUA
Molecule: ribosomal RNA, 434 nt
Filed under: uncultured Pseudobutyrivibrio sp.
Lineage: Bacteria; Bacillati; Bacillota; Clostridia; Lachnospirales; Lachnospiraceae
Description: partial 16S ribosomal RNA
Rfam family: Bacterial small subunit ribosomal RNA
Source: RNAcentral